UGAGUAAUGCUUAGGAAUCUGCCUAUUAGUGGGGGACAACAUUCCGAAAGGAAUGCUAAUACCGCAUACGCCCUACGGGGGAAAGCAGGGGAUCUUCGGACCUUGCGCUAAUAGAUGAGCCUAAGUCAGAUUAGCUAGUUGGUGGGGUAAAGGCCUACCAAGGCGACGAUCUGUAGCGGGUCUGAGAGGAUGAUCCGCCACACUGGGACUGAGACACGGCCCAGACUCCUACGGGAGGCAGCAGUGGGGAAUAUUGGACAAUGGGCGAAAGCCUGAUCCAGCCAUGCCGCGUGUGUGAAGAAGGCCUUUUGGUUGUAAAGCACUUUAAGCGAGGAGGAGGCUACUUAGAUUAAUACUCUAGGAUAGUGGACGUUACUCGCAGAAUAAGCACCGGCUAACUCUGUGCCAGCAGCCGCGGUAAUACAGAGGGUGCGAGCGUUAAUCGGAUUUACUGGGCGUAAAGCGUGCGUAGGCGGCUUUUUAAGUCGGAUGUGAAAUCCCUGAGCUUAACUUAGGAAUUGCAUUCGAUACUGGGAAGCUAGAGUAUGGGAGAGGAUGGUAGAAUUCCAGGUGU
RNAcentral lists this ribosomal RNA (574 nucleotides) under Acinetobacter johnsonii. Its description in RNAcentral is "bacterial SSU rRNA". It matches the Rfam family "Bacterial small subunit ribosomal RNA", at positions 107 to 676 of the family's 1533-position model. Lineage: Bacteria; Pseudomonadati; Pseudomonadota; Gammaproteobacteria; Moraxellales; Moraxellaceae. The record is from RNAcentral.